RNAcentral lists this long non-coding RNA (1651 nucleotides) under Pavo cristatus (Indian peafowl). RNAcentral describes it as "lncRNA (ENSPSTG00000001240.1)". The record is from RNAcentral. Lineage: Eukaryota; Metazoa; Chordata; Aves; Galliformes; Phasianidae.
AUGUGGAGCAGCUGGUGGUGGAUAUGCUCAAGUGAUUCCCAUGGAGGAGGUGAGACAACAGUGGAGACAGCAAAACACUGUCCCCUGGGAGGGGUGGGCAGAGCAAAGUAUUUGGAGCAGUGUUUGGUCUUUGGUGACAGUCCUUCUGGAGAGCUGGCAUGGUCUUUACCAUCUUCAUGUGGCUGCUCUGAGAUGUGUCGGGACUGUGGCCCAGGGUUGGAAAGCCACUGCAUGGUUCCUGUAUGUGCUUGUAACAUCCCAGCUGUUAAUCACAUGGCACUGAAUGUGAAAGAAUUGUUUUCUCUGAAUUAAUCUGUAACUUUCCUCUGCCCACAAGCAAAUGGCUUUCUGUUGAAAAUGGUGUUACCGCUACUCUUCAAAGACAUCUGAAAAUCAUGUGCGCUCUUGAAGAAUCUGGCUGGGUGGGUGCUUUUAAAAUACUCCCACUGUGAAAACAGUGGUAAUGUCAGUGAAGCCUUUGUGUUCCUUAGCACAGCAGUCACCAUGCUAAGGCUAAGGGAUCUGCAGACUUAUGAAUGGGCUGAAAUAUAAACCAUGUGUUGUGUUCCUUGUUAGCUGGUGGUUGCCAUCUGCGCUAGAUGCCUCACUCAGCCUCUCCUUUGCCUGUAGUACACUUCACUGUGUGCUCAAGGACAUGUGCACACUGUAGCAGACAGUUGAGUUUUGUUUUCUGGAGAGUAAAAUGCAAGCAUGUUUCCUGAAUGAGGAGGAACAUUAGAAUGGUUUAGUUCAUCUAAUGUGUAUGUUCACUAUGCUUGUUUGGAAACGCACAACGGUUUCACCCCUCUUUGGCUCCUCUGUACAAGAGGAAUGGGGACAUACUGGUGAGAGUCUAGUGCAGGGCCACAGGACUGACUAAGGGACUAGAGAACCUCUCCUUUGAGGAAAUGCAGAGAGAGCCGGGACCGUUCAGUCUAUAAAAGAGAAGGGGAUGAAUCUUAUCAAUGCAUAUAAAUAUGUGAAGGGAAGGUGCAGAGGAAGCGGAGCUCUUUUCAGUGGUGCCCAAUGUCAGGACAAGAAGUAAUGGGCAUAAACUGGAACACAGGAGGUUCCCUCUGAACAUCAGGGAGCAUUUCUGUACUGUGAGAGUGGCAGAACACUGGCACGAGCUGCCUAGCGAGACUAUGUAAUCUUUCUUGAUAAUUGUUGGUGACAUGGAGUUGGUCCUGGGCAAGGAGCGGAGGGAUUGGACAAAUGACAUCCAGAGGUCCUUGCCAACCUGAAGCAGACUGUGGUUCUGAGGAAGGAGAAUUCCAAGCUGAUGAAGUGCCGUAGUGAAAAUGCACAGCUGCUCCAGAGUACUACUCACGCAGUAUUUGGAAACCUUUUGCACUUGAGUACAAUCACAGUCAAGUGCUGGUGUCAGCUGUUGGUGGUGCCUCUUAGCUGUCAGUACUACUACAGCGCAAUUAAAACUGACCUUCCAUAUCUUUGUGUCAGAUACAGAUAUGAAAAAUAAAAUGCCUAUAUAAAGCAAGUCCUGAUCUAAUCUAAAUGGCCUAUUUCAGAUUUUUCCCCACAACUUUGUUGGACAAACUUUGCAUCAGCAAAUUUUGUGCCUGAUCUGGUUCUGCCUGUUCUCCUGUGACUUGCAGAAAGCUGGCAUGAAAUCAGAAAGCCAGCAGGCAUU